Molecule: microRNA precursor, 149 nt
Filed under: Loxodonta africana (African savanna elephant)
Lineage: Eukaryota; Metazoa; Chordata; Mammalia; Proboscidea; Elephantidae
Description: miRNA (ENSLAFG00000024198.1)
Rfam family: mir-1302 microRNA precursor family (bases 46-97)
Source: RNAcentral
AUACAGGAUACCCAGCUGAAUUUGAAUUUCAGAAUUUAGACAAUUUCUUUAGCAUAAGUUUAUCCCAUGUAAUAUUUGGGACAUACUUAUACUAAAAAAGUAUUUAUUAUUUAUCUGAAAUUCAAAUUUAACUGAGUGUCUUGUUUUUU